Molecule: non-coding RNA, 102 nt
Organism: Acanthosepion pharaonis
Lineage: Eukaryota; Metazoa; Mollusca; Cephalopoda; Sepiida; Sepiidae
Source: the annotation of a GenBank genome assembly
CACGUUUAAAACACUGGUUUCCAUAUGAUCACCGAAGUUAAGCAACAACAGCCUGGUCAGUACCUAGGUGGGUGACCAAAUGGGAAUACCAGCUGCUGUAAG